Molecule: long non-coding RNA, 353 nt
Organism: Pristis pectinata (smalltooth sawfish)
Lineage: Eukaryota; Metazoa; Chordata; Chondrichthyes; Rhinopristiformes; Pristidae
Exons: 3
Source: RefSeq, a predicted model, not a curated record
ACAUGUAGGUAGAGAAUUCUGGAUGUUCUUCACCGUCUGAAGAAAUUUCUCAUCUCAAUCCUAAACAGUUUACUUCUUAAUCAGAGACAGUGGAUAUAUCCCUCCUGCAUCCACUCUGUCAAGCACGAAAUUAGUCACCUGUAUAAAAAGAAUCUACAGUAAAAAUGUGUUUGUUAGUCAAUGAUUUCGAAAGGAAAUUGGAAAGGCAUGACAGAAAUAUACUUGCUGGACUAUGGGGAGAACACAGAGGAAUCAGUCUGACUGGACUGGUCUACAAAGAAGGUGCUGCCUGACCUGCUGAGUUCCUCCAGCAUUUUGUGUGUGCUGCUCCAGAUUUCCAGCAUCUGCAGUCU